Lactarius deliciosus is the source of this 83-nucleotide non-coding RNA. The record is from the annotation of a GenBank genome assembly. Lineage: Eukaryota; Fungi; Basidiomycota; Agaricomycetes; Russulales; Russulaceae.
GGGCACAUGGUGUAGAUGGUUUAUCACGCUCGCUUAGCAAACAAAUAUGCGAGAGGUGUCCGGUUCAAUUCCGGAUGUGUCCA